Non-coding RNA from Equus caballus (horse), 1717 nucleotides. NCBI's taxonomy places the organism in Eukaryota, Metazoa, Chordata, Mammalia, Perissodactyla, Equidae. The record is from RefSeq and is a predicted model, not a curated record.
AACUUUUCUUUCUCUGACAAUAGCUUGGUUUUUGUCUGCGUGUAUGCUUUUAGGAUAUUUUGCUUUUGAAAUGUUAAAAUUCCAUGAAGCUGUGGCGAGGUGCUUAUUUCUUUUCAUUAAUUUGCCUGACUCAGUAAAGCUCUUUUGAUCCACAGACUUGGGCCUGUCUUCAGCUCAGCACAGUUUUCUUGUGUUACUACUUUGGUUAUUGUUUAUGUGUCCUUUAUGCAGCCUCUUCUUUGGGAAUAUCAUUGGUUCAUCCAGCAUAUAUUUACUUACCAUGUGCAAGUACCGUUCUACUUAUUGGGAUGACUCAUGGCUCUGUAUAUUAGCUCUGUGCUCUGUUUUUAUUGAUCAGUUUCUUAUGGUUUUUACUUCUUUAUUUCUUCUACAAUCUGGAAUAACAAGUCAAGUUUUCCAUUCACCUUAGUACUUAGACUUAAGACUGGAUUGAGUCUGUUCUUUCAACUUUCAAUGUAGAUUUCAAUUUUGGCAUUGCAUUUCUAGUUUUCUUAUAAUCUUUCCUUAUUGCAUUCAACUUCCUUAUUAUUUCUGCUUGCUUCUUAGCCAGAUCCUUUUAAAUCCAUGUCUUAUUUUCACAUACUUCAAAUUUCUUUGAAUUUUGAGAACACAAAGCAGAUGUUUUUUAAAAAUCUGGUGUUUUCUGAGGAAAAUAUUCUAGCCCAGCAGCAACUUCUUCCCUUACAUUUUGAAUGCUUGUUACUCCGCCUUACUGCAGAAUAAUUUCAUAGAUCCCAUGUUAUUUAACUUGUUUGUGACCUUAUUCUUGAACAAUGAGAUGGCUACACAAACUGUUCAGGAACAAAUCGGAUGGAUUCUCCUUGGUUGCAUUUACUCUCCACUUUGUUAUUAUUAGAAUUCUCCUCGAGGAUUUUAAACUGGCGUUAGUAGUUGAACUAAAUCUACAAUGCUAGCUCAAGAACUCAGCAGGGAAGGAGUUGGAACUGUGGGCAGUCACAGCAUGAGAACUUCAUCUCCACAUCAUUUCUUAUUUUGUUUGGAAAAGCCAUUGCAAUGGGGCCAGCUUUUGGCAUUGGUUUUUGUUUGAUCUCAUCUUCAAGCCAAGUAUAAGGAGGGACUGGUCUGGCCCCUUUCCCAGUGUUAUUCCCCGUCCAGCUUUCUGCUUGUUGUAGUCACUACUUGAAAACUAGACCUCCCCAUCCCACCUCCUCCCCAACAUGGCUGCUUUCAAUGGCUGCUGCUUGGCAGGGACAAAAUGGAGGUCAAGAGAUCUGUGCCUCACCAGCUCUAGGGCUCGCUCUUCUACUCCCUGCCUCUUCAAUUAAGGGAUGUCUAUUAUCCAGGACUCUAAGAUAUUCCAUAUAGAAUCCAGUCAAGAAGCAAAGGAAGAUCACUGGGGACAGCUUUCCUAAUUGAGAAGGAUGACCUGUGCUGCAACAGAGGCACAUGCUGAAGCAGACGUUAACAUGGAUGGCAACAUUUCCUGUUCCUCAAAUCUCAGCCCAGCCACUCGGAAUCAAAGCGUGGGCCUGAAGCUGUGCUUUGGAAAGUCAUCUCAAGUGAUGAUUUGCUAGUUCCUGGCCAGACUUUGUGCUCUUCACCAAGGAAACACCCAUGGUUACUGGGAUUGCACAGCAGUUCAAAACAGCUAUUUCCAGAAAAGAAGAGAAUAACAACUUCCCUGGAAUAAUUACUCUAUUUGAGGAUAUUUAGAAAGUUACUAACCCCAAUCCCU